CUAGUACGUGUCCCUCACUGCAUAAGCCUGCUUCGGCUUCACACUGUUAGUUUCUCUUCAGUCAUCAGCCGAGGUAGACCUAAGAAGGUAUGUAUGUGUACUGCCUCGUGCUGUAUAUUUAGUACUAAUACGCUUUUCUCAAAAUUAGAAUGCCAUGCUAUAAUAAUUAAUAAGCUUUGCCUUUUGUCUCCCUCUUGCACAUAAAAAACAAAAAAUAACAACAAAAUUCUUGUUUUCCAGGUUUAUCUUCAGUAUGUCGAAAAAACUAAAGUGGAAUGAUGACUAAGUUCAGUAUGGCUUCACGUGUGUUACUGAGAAGGAUGGUACACAACGGCCACAGUCAGUUUCUCCACGGACUGGGACAAGAACUGGCUGGAUAUUUUGACGAUCCUGAAUUUGUUCAAAUGCUUGCCUAUUUGGCUUAUGUGUUCACAGCACUCAAUGAGCUCAAUCGCUCACUACAAGGAAGAGGGAUGAGCAUUUUGAUUGCAAGUGAGAAGUUGGCUACAUUCAAAGACAAAUUUGUUUUGUGGAUUAGGCGUGUAAAGAAAGAGAACUUGGCAAAUUUUCCUUCCCUUGAAGAAACAGUCACAGAGGAUGCUUCCCUACAUCCAGAUUUCGUUUCAAAAACAUCUGCAGAUACUGUGCACCUCAUUUGAUGACAACUUCUCGUGUGGAGAGCUACAACCCUGUGGCGACUGGAUCCAGCACCCUUUUAAGCAGAAUAUGGAAGAUGUUGAUGAUGAUAGCAACAUCAAGGAAGAUCUCAUCCAACUGAGAAACAAUCGUGGAAUCCAAAUGGAGUUUGCCGAUGGUCACCUGGAGCACUUCUGGGCUUCUCAGUUGGAAACGUAUCCUGCACUGGCAAAGAAGGCUCUCACUGUGCUCGUGCCUUUCGCGACUAGUACCUCUGCGAGACUGGAUUUUCUUGUCUGCUUCACAUCAAAACCAAGAGCAGAAAUCGGCUGGAUCCUCAACACGACAUGCGAGUGGCACUCAGCACCAAGACACCAAGAUUUGAUGCCAUCAUAAAUGGAAAGCAACAGCAACAAAGUCACUGAGUUUGGCGCUCAGCCAUAAUAAUUCACAACACACUAUGCAUAGUACAAGCACAAUGUUGUUGUUUUUUUUCCUAGUAUGAAAGUAAUCUUGAUUUUUGUAAUCCUGCAAUGCAUUAUUUUGUUGACAGUUAUGUAAAUAAAGAAUUAAAUACA
This is a long non-coding RNA of Syngnathus acus (greater pipefish), 1214 nucleotides long. RefSeq lists it as uncharacterized. The transcript has 2 exons. The record is from RefSeq and is a predicted model, not a curated record. Lineage: Eukaryota; Metazoa; Chordata; Actinopteri; Syngnathiformes; Syngnathidae.